This 207-nucleotide ribosomal RNA is filed under the name uncultured bacterium. RNAcentral describes it as "partial 16S ribosomal RNA". It matches the Rfam family "Bacterial small subunit ribosomal RNA", at positions 568 to 774 of the family's 1533-position model. The record is from RNAcentral.
CUCGUAGGCGGUUUGUCGCGUCCGGUGUGAAAGUCCAUCGCUUAACGGUGGAUCCGCGCCGGGUACGGGCGGGCUUGAGUGCGGUAGGGGAGACUGGAAUUCCCGGUGUAACGGUGGAAUGUGUAGAUAUCGGGAAGAACACCAAUGGCGAAGGCAGGUCUCUGGGCCGUCACUGACGCUGAGGAGCGAAAGCGUGGGGAGCGAACA